UCCUGACCUCAGGUGAUCCGCCCACCUCUGCCUCCCAAAGUGCUGGGAUUACAGGCGUGAGCCACCACGCCCUGCCUGAUAUUCCAAUUUUCCAUUUCAUGUGUUUAACUACUAGUUAUCAUCUCAACAAUAUUUACAUGAAUAUACUGUGUACACUGUAAUGCUCUAUAAAAAGUUUUAUUAUUCCUAAACUCCCAUAAAUGUAAUUUAAUGGUUUCCAGUCCUAUAUAAGUCAUUCUACCUUUUGAAGAAACUCCGAAACACAAAUAUCCAAUCCUUUGUUAGUAAAGCAUACAUCCUUCUCUGAUUCUGGCACGAAAGAAAGUGCAUAAUUUACUUCUGGAUAGAGAGUCACAGAUAAAAAGGAAAGCAAAUCUGAUUAUCAAACACACGAUUACUGUUCUCUCAUCACCGGAUUAAAAUUUAAACCAUUAAGCUGAAGUAAACGUUCAUGAACAUAUGAAAGGGGGGAAUUUUUAACAGUUUUACAAUGACGCGUCCUCCUCUUCCUCAUUUAAUGAAGUACUAAGAACUUAAAGGCCAUUCUACAGCGAAUCUGGCUCCUAGAAAGAGUCCAUCCAGGAUGCUGAGAGAGGGAAAAGAUUAGAAACUGUGCGAUCUGGACUAUUCUUGGUGUUACGGAGUAUUUUUUCGGUCCUUUAUGGACAUGGAAUAAAAAUGCCCAAAAGGAGCAAGAGAGAGGGCUCGGCUGCCCUGAUCACAAAGCUCCUGGGGUAGAGUCAGCAUCCAGCCCUGGCAGAGCCCUCGCCGUCCUCCUUCCGCGCCCCUAGACCAUCCCGUCGCGCAGUCCCUGAGGGCCAGCUUCGCGAGGAUCCAGAAGGCAGUCGCUGGACGUGCGUGUUACGAGCCCGUUUUUGUUUUGUUUAAGAAACAGAUUCCGAUCUGAGCCAAGCCUCCCUGCCUCCCGGGGAACAGGGGGAGAUGGCAGCAGGGUGCCGGCGUGGAGAGCGAGAAUAAAAGAACGGCCGAGUACAACCUGUCGUGCAAGCUAGCAGCGCCAGGAAGGAAAGGUAAGCGGCGGCGAUAAGGCACGACAGGGAAGGAAACUGGAGUCCAGCACCCGCCCUCAACCCAGUCACCCAGAGCGGCCGGAGCCUCCCAGGUCCCGCCCCGAGCUCGCGCCCAGCCCCGGCGCCGGCCGCAGACUCCCGCCCUACACAAACCCUCCCAGGACGCGCUUCCUCCGGAGCCGGACCCCCGCCCUGGCCUCCUGGCGGGAUGAGGCGGGUCAGUUCAGUCCGCUUCUCGGCAGAGGUGACUCGCGCAGAGAUGUAAACACGGCGAGACCAGCUGCGCUCGGCCCAUCCCCCGCGCCGGGCCUCGCCGCGAUGAACCUGGCACCUGACGCGGUAUUCACCAGCUCCUUUCUGGGCUCCAGCGUUACCAUUUUUACGGCUUCACAACCAGUCUGGAGCAAAGAAGGAACCCCGAGGAAUGGGAAACCUGGAGACCGUGAGUGUUAAUCAAAGAUCCUCUUAACUCUUGACAAAGUUUUCUGGAUUCCUGAGUUCUAAAUCAUAGGACUAUCGACACCCUUUUGAACUAAAGAAUAUGUAAAGCUUUGGUAACAUUAAAAUCUUUAAUACACAAUAAACAGGAUUCUGCAAACAUAGCACCCUUUCUAAGGGAGUCUUUAUCUCACUUCUUGUAAAAUAACUUAUCACUUAUGGGAACCAUUGCCCACUUUGAUAUUUGUAGGGAAUUAAUUAAUAAUAAUAUUGCAUCUUCAUAACAUAACAUAACAUAGCAUACUAAGGAGCCGGCAAAGACAAAGCCUGAUUCCUGUUGUUAGGGACAGAUAUCACCUGCCGAGUCAUGUCAUUUCUGUUGUCAGCCACGUUGAGAAGAAAGUCUCUCCCACUGCCAAUUGGCAAUAAGUCGGAAAGUCCCAGGUGGAUAACAGUGGUAGAUAACAUUAUUGUUCCCAAUUUUUCACUACUCCAUGCAUGCAUGCCCUUUGAAAUACAGCUUUGUAGUUCCUCUCAGUAGAGAUAGGAUGUUUCUCCACCCUGUUCAUGUUGGGCUUAGAUCAGUCCAUUUGCUUUUGGCUAAAGAAGAUAGGCAGAAGUGACAGUGUGACAGUUCUGAGCCUGGCCUCGAGGUAUUUCAUGUUUCGCCUUCCCUCUCUGGCACUCUUGUUUUUCACAAUGUGACGAACAUACCUGCCUAGUUUGCUGGUCCAAGAAGUAUGAAGCAGAUCUGAAGCCAGUCGCAGGUUGGGGUCAGCAACCCAAAAAAUAAAGGAUUGUUGUUUCAAGUCGUGUUUUAGAGUAAUAGUGUUUUGGAGUACUUGGUUCCCAGAAUUAGUGUUGUGAUAGCUGACUGAAACAACAGCAGAGAGAGCAAUCAGAUUCCUUGGUAUUGGCCUGGAAGGUGCCUAACUUGAUGUCUUUCAGGCAGCUCUUUGGCUAUGGUUCUUAGACACAUCCUUUACAGAGGCCAGCGGAGUAAGGAACCCAGAA
Molecule: long non-coding RNA, 2483 nt
Organism: Cercocebus atys (sooty mangabey)
Lineage: Eukaryota; Metazoa; Chordata; Mammalia; Primates; Cercopithecidae
Exons: 3
Source: RefSeq, a predicted model, not a curated record